Molecule: long non-coding RNA, 886 nt
Organism: Monomorium pharaonis (pharaoh ant)
Lineage: Eukaryota; Metazoa; Arthropoda; Insecta; Hymenoptera; Formicidae
Exons: 2
Source: RefSeq, a predicted model, not a curated record
GUUUACAUCAUACAUUUGACAUAUUGUGACAUGUAAUAAAAUAAUAAAUAUUGUAUAAUUAUAAAACAUUGAAAUUGUUUUGGCUUGUCUCACUCGAGAUAUGAAUAUCAUUCAAGAUCAUGACAUAUACAGUUCUUCCCACUAAAAUUAAUGUAAUAAAUUUACCAUCAUUGCAAUAAACAAAUAUAUUAGAUAAGUAUAAGCUAAUGUUUAUUAUAAAAUAAGAAAUACAAUAUCUAUGUGCUGUCUGUAAUUGCAGAUGUUGUUGAACCGAUUCUUUCUUUUUAUUAUUUUUUUUUUAGCUUCCCAGUUAUCCACGCACUUGCAGAAUAUUAAUUAGAAUUGAGAUUCAAUUCUUAAAGGAACAACUGUAGCAAAAUCAAAAACAUUUUGUGAAUGAAAGAUGGAAGAACCAUAAGAAGUCAAGAAAUUGCAAGAAAUAUCCUUAGCCUUGUUGCCCAAAGAAUUUAUAGAAGAAAGCUAUAAUAUUAUAACCAAAAUUAUUUUUAAUAAUAAUGAUUAUUUAAAGCCAUUCUUUCAAUAUUAUGAAAAAACAUGGAUUAAUGGUUUUAAACCUGAAUCGUUUUGUGUCUAUAAAGAAUUGCAUAGGACAAAUAAUAUAUCAGAGCGACACAAUAGAGAACUCAAAAAAAAUCUUAACAAGCACUCCACAAUUGCCACAUUUUUAGGUAUAUUAUAAACACUUUAUUGCAAUUACUCCCAGAAUAUUUUUACUAUUUUAACAAUUCUAUAUUAUUUACAGCAAAUUUAUCAGAACAUCAAAAAAGCAUCCAUAGCAUGCUAAAACAUCCAACAUUUUGGACAAGACACAAAAGCAAUAUUUUAAAGAAAAAAGAGCAAAAUUUGCAAAAUAUUUGGCAAAAAA